GAUGAACGCUAGCGGCAGGCCUAACACAUGCAAGUCGAGUGAGGAGCUUUCGGGCUUCGACCGGCGUACGGGUGCGUAACGCGUAUACAAUCUGCCUUUCACACAGGGAUAGCCCGAAGAAAUUUGGAUUAAUACCUAAUGGUAUAUAGGAGUGGCAUCACCUUUAUAUUAAAGCUGAGGCGGUGAAAGAUGAGUAUGCGUUCUAUUAGCUAGUUGGAGAGGUAACGGCUCCCCAAGGCGACGAUAGAUAGGGGUUCUGAGAGGGAUAUCCCCCACACUGGUACUGAGAUACGGACCAGACUCCUACGGGAGGCAGCAGUGAGGAAUAUUGGACAAUGGUCGGAAGACUGAUCCAGCCAUGCCGCGUGCAGGAAGACGGCCUUAUGGGUUGUAAACUGCUUUUGCAGGGGAAGAAUAAGGAGUACGUGUACUUUGAUGACGGUACUCUGCGAAUAAGCAUCGGCUAACUCCGUG
This 474-nucleotide ribosomal RNA is filed under the name uncultured bacterium. RNAcentral's name for it is "partial 16S ribosomal RNA". It matches the Rfam family "Bacterial small subunit ribosomal RNA", at positions 28 to 507 of the family's 1533-position model. The record is from RNAcentral.